CCUACGGGGGGCAGCAGUGGGGAAUAUUGCACAAUGGGCGCAAGCCUGAUGCAGCGACGCCGCGUGAGCGAUGAAGGCCUUCGGGUCGUAAAGCUCUGUCCUAAGGGAAGAAUAAUGACGGUACCUUAGGAGGAAGCCCCGGCUAACUACGUGCCAGCAGCCGCGGCAAUACGUAGGGGGCGAGCGUUAUCCGGAAUCACGGGGCGUAAAGGGGGCGUAGGCGGCCCUGCAAGUCAGGAGUUAAAUCACUCGGCUCAACCUAGGUCAGCACUUGAACCUGUUGGGCUUGAGUGCGGGAGAGGAAAGCGCAAUUCCUAGUGUAGCGGUGCAAUGCGUAGAUAUUAGGAGGCACUCCAGUGGCGAGGGCGGCUCUCUGGACUGCAACUGAAGCUGAGGCACGAACGCGUGGGGAUCGAACAGGAUUAGAUACCCUUGUAGUC
This 440-nucleotide ribosomal RNA is filed under the name uncultured bacterium. RNAcentral's name for it is "bacterial SSU rRNA". It matches the Rfam family "Bacterial small subunit ribosomal RNA", at positions 338 to 795 of the family's 1533-position model. The record is from RNAcentral.